This 438-nucleotide ribosomal RNA is filed under the name uncultured bacterium. RNAcentral describes it as "bacterial SSU rRNA". It matches the Rfam family "Bacterial small subunit ribosomal RNA", at positions 339 to 794 of the family's 1533-position model. The record is from RNAcentral.
UUACGGGAGGCAGCAGUGGGGAAUCUUGCACAAUGGGCGAAAGCCUGAUGCAGCGACGCCGCGUGAGCGAUGAAGCCCUUCGGGGUGUAAAGCUCUUUCGACGGGAACGAUAAUGACGGUACCCGGAGAAGAAGCUGCGGCUAACUACGUGCCAGCAGCCGCGGUAAUACGUAGGCAGCGAGCGUUGUUCGGAAUUACUGGGCGUAAAGAGUGUGUAGGCGGUGCUCCCAGUCUGUUGUGAAAUCUCCCGGCUUAACUGGGAGGGUGCAGCGGAAACUAGAGUGCUAGAGGGUGGGAGAGGUAAGCGGAAUUCCUGGUGUAGCGGUGAAAUGCGUAGAUAUCAGGAGGAACACCUGUGGUGUAGACAGCUUACUGGACCACUUCUGACGCUGAGACACGAAAGCGUGGGUAGCAAACAGGAUUAGAUACCCCGGUAGU